Molecule: non-coding RNA, 2612 nt
Organism: Kogia breviceps (pygmy sperm whale)
Lineage: Eukaryota; Metazoa; Chordata; Mammalia; Artiodactyla; Physeteridae
Source: RefSeq, a predicted model, not a curated record
UUUAUCUGUCGAUAGACACUUAGGUUGUUUCCAUGUCCUGGCUAUUGUAAGUAGAGCUGCAGUGAACAUUGGGGUGCAUGUGCUUUUUUAAAUUAUGGCUUUCUAUGGGUAUAUGCCCAGUAGUGGGAUUGCUGGGUUGUAUGGUAGUUCUAUAUUUAGUUUUUUAAGGACCCUCCAUACAGUUCUCCAUAGUGGCUGUAUCAAUUUACAUUCGGGGGGGCGGAUCUUGAGAAGAAAGGGCCACGGCGGCGGGGUCAGGCUCGCGUUGUGGAACUGAGAACCUGGGAAGGAGGCUGCCUCAGCAACAGAGCAGAGCAGCGUGGUCUGCGCGACGUAACGUAGCAUUUGGGGGCGGCCCGCGGUGCUCCGCCGCCCCUGACAACGGAGGCGAGGCGGGUGAUGUCAGGCGGAAGAGCGAAAUCGGAGCCGAAAGGCUGGGGUGGGGAGGAGAAGUCGGAGCCUGCGUGAUGGAGGGAGAUAGAGACUGGGAACGAGGCUUGUGACAUAGGCCGAGGGGCGUGUCCUGGGGCCGAGGAAAGACUGCAGAGGGGAGGUGGUGCCUUGUGAAGCAGAAAAUGGCGCCUGCGAAUGAGCAAAGUUUGUGACGCGGCGAGGUUUUUGCCUCUGGCCGAGCCCUUCUUCCCAGGACGGGAGAAAGUGCAGGUCGUGAGAGACAAAGGAUGAAGAACUGUUCCAGACUGAAGAAAUUAACGGGAUUUAACGAGUCAUGAUAACUAAAUGCAAAGUGUGAUCCUGGGUUGGAUCCCGGAGCAGAAAAAAUAAAUUAUUUAAAAAUCAGUAUUUUCUCAUAAAAUGAAUUUUCUCUUUUCCUGUAAAAGAUAUGAACGGGGAAAUUGGUAAAAUUUUACUAAGGUCUGAAGAUUAGCUAUUAGUACUGCUCAUUUCUUGCUUUUGAUAAUUGUAUUGUGAGUAUGAAAGAGAAUAUCUUUGUUUUUAGGAAAUACAUGCCGAAAUAUUUAGGGGUAAAGAACCAUCGUGUAAGCAAGCUUACUCUGAAAUCGUUGAAAGAAUGGCAUAUAUAAAAACGUAUUUAAAGAAAUAAUUGAGCAAAUGGGUAACAUUUUAAAUUUGGAGAAUCUGGAUGAAGGGCACACGGGAAUUCUUUGUAUUAUUUUUGCGAUUUUUCUGAGUCUAUUUCAAAGUAAAAACUUUAAAGAAUAAUAAAAAAUUUGUGAAUUAACCACCUAGGUUAAGAUUCAGACCGUUACCUUAAGAAAUCCUUCUGUGCCCCUCCCAGAUGAAGAGCUCCCUCCCUGCCAUGGGAAGUUAUUACCCUGAAUUUUUAAUUUCGUUAGCGUUUCCCCACCAUUGUAUGCAUCCCUAAAUAGUAUUUGUGGUCUAAGCUUUCAUUUUAUUGAGGAUAUAUAUGAAAUCAGACUGCAUGCACAUGGUGUGCCCUUUGCAUCAUGUCAGGUGGGUACUCCACAUGACGUCAUUGGUGACGUUAGCCUUGAUCACUUGGUGAAGGUAUCUGCUGGGUUUCUCCACUGUGCAGGUACUAUUUUCCUCUUUCCGUACACAGUAAUUCUUUUUAAAAAUAAUUUAUGUCCGUCCUUUCCUCAAAAUGUUUUAACAGUUUUCCUGUUUCAUUCAAUGUAAAUGCUAAAAUUCUUACAGUGACUUGCAGGGCUUUAGGAUUGCGAGGCUGGUCCCUGGCUCUGAUCUUCUCCCAUGCUCUUCUGAUUUCCCUCCCCCUCCCUUUCCCCGUCUGGCCAUAUUGGACUCUUGCUGUUCCUCGAACGCCUCAAGCAUGCUCUCACCUGAGAGCCUUUAGGAGUGAGGUUUGCUCAUUUUACAGAGUCCUUUAAUCACAGUACUAGCGAAAUAUAUAUUCCUGUUACUGGAGAGACAAGUUGAGAUUCCCCAAAUCGGAAAUAUGGAACUGAGCAAUUUGUUUUACCAUUAUACUAUAGCUCUCCAGCAAGGCAAAACCUCAGUCCAUCCUGAGAAUAAACAACAAUAACAGGAACAUUUUUAUAGCCCAUUUGGAGGUGUUCAGAAGGGCGGGGGGGGACGACUUCGGUUUCUGCCCCAUCCUACCUUUACAGCCUUGUGACAAUACCCUUUAAAAUUAUCCCACCAGUACCAGGUUUCCUCUUGGGGUGUUGAAAAUGUUUUGGAAGUAGAUAGAGGUUGUGGUUGCACAACGCUGAAUGUACUAAAUGCCAUUGAAUUGUUCACUUUUUAAAUGGUUAAUUUUAUGUCAUGUGAAUAAAAAAUUAUGCUCUGUCAAUAAAAAAAUUUAUCCCAUCGAUGUUGGUUCAGUAUUGAAGCCAGUUUAUCUCUGCUUUUGUGGAUAAUAUCAUGCAGCAUUUUUCCUUAGCUCCAUUUUUUAAUGCUUAUCUAGAGCAGAGCACAUCAAGAUUCUUUAAUUUGCUGUCUAUUUUAUAGGGGUUUGCUGCAGUGGUCAGGAAAUUUGUGCUUAUAAAGCAUUUCAAAGUCAUGGACUAACCCCAAAUCAUAUACCUAAUAUCCAUAUUAAUAUUUGCACCUGCUAUCUUUUGUCAGCUGGCAGAUCUGGGUGGGGGCAUUUAAUUAAUUUGGCCAUCUAAACUGAUUUAAUUUCUAGGAGAAGCUUAAAUUUUAAGAGA